UACGGAGGGUGCAAGCGUUAAUCGGAAUUACUGGGCGUAAAGCGCACGUAGGCGGUUUGUUAAGCUAGCUGUGAAAUCCCCGGGCUCAACCUGGGCACUGCAGUUAGAACUGGCAAGCUAGAGUAGGGUAGAGGGGUGUGGAAUUCCAGGUGUAGCGGUGAAAUGCGUAGAUAUCUGGAGGAACAUCAGUGGCGAAGGCGACACCCUGGACUCAUACUGACACUGAGGUGCGAAAGCGUGGGGAGCAAACAGG
Molecule: ribosomal RNA, 253 nt
Filed under: uncultured bacterium
Lineage: Bacteria
Description: partial 16S ribosomal RNA
Rfam family: Bacterial small subunit ribosomal RNA
Source: RNAcentral